AGGGGCAAGGAAGGAUUAACAGAUUCUGCCUCAAGUCCUGGUGAACCAACUCCUCUCCCCAAGACAGACACAUACUAGUGAAAUAAAUUGGAUUUAAAUCAUCACCUGAGGCAAUCCUGAAAGAGAAAAGCAGUCCUAGAAAAGAGUGGAGGAAAAGAGGACAGCCCCAUUCUCUUUGUGACCACGAAGACUGCCGCCAUGUGGUUGGGAGCCACGUAACUUCUUUUAGUGCCAGCUGAGAUUCUUCUGCCCUGGAACUAGUUCCUCCGAGUUAUUGCCAGGCCUGGAGAUUGAAUUCCUGCAGCUGGAAGGUGGGGAAAGCAAAAUGUUGUGAGCACCUACCAUAUGCCAGGCACUGUUCAGUGAACUGGUUGUACAGGAGUGAAUGAGAUCAUCUUGAUUUUGAGAAGUUUAUAAUCUACUCAAGGGAAACACGUGUAAUCAACUAUGUUUCAGACAUAACCCCUCAAAACCAAAGCAGAACCUCUUCAAGGAGCUGAGAGAUGCAAGCCUGGUGCUGACAACUAGAGCUGAGGAAGCGAUAUAAAUGCAGCAUUUGGGGUAACACUCUGCUUCCCCCUUUUGUGCCAAACAGGCAAGUCAGGGACACCUGAGGUUAUGAAGGCAUCUCUCCACAGUUCUGCCUGAGAAUCCAAGAAUGAAAGUAAUAGUUACCUUGUCUUGGGCUGCUGCUACCUUUCUGCUUUAUGAGUGCAAUUGACAUGCUCCGCGUUCAGAUCUCAGAUACCAGUCAGCUGCACUUUCUCUUUCAGACAAAAGUGUUGCCAAUGUUUCUACUACUGCCCGAGUGUCACUCCUUAUUUCCUUAUUUUAAAGUGUUAUUUUUCCUGGAAGUGUAAUGGUUAAAGAAGUGACAGUAAAUAAAUAGGAGUUAUUAUUCCCUUUUCUAAGCUUCUGUCCUUAGAGACCAAUUUUCAUAACAUCUCUUGAGCUCUCCAUGUAAAAUCAGUCCAGUCUAAUUCACAUCUCCAUUAGUUAUAUCUGCUUUUGGCAGACAGCCUGGCUUCCCAGUUUUUCAGAAAAAAAAAAAUCUAUGAAAUAUCUUAAUGCCUCCAUUUCCCUCUUGUCCACUUUCAGAGUUACCAUAUAUUCAUCCAUCCUUUUCUCCCUCCUAUCUGAGGCAGAAGGAAUCUUUACUUUCUUCAAAAAUCAAUUUUUUUUCAACUUUGCUAAUGAUCUUCCUUCUUUUCCACUUUCUCUGGGGAUUUAUUUCAUUAUUUUUUCUACCGUAUUUCUCUCUUCUCUUUAUUCCUUUCUUCCUUCCUAUAAUCAUGCACAAAUAUUACUAUUGUAUAGAAACCUUCUCUAGUGUCACACUCUCCACCAAGUUACUUCCCUUUUCUUCUCCUCUGUUUCAUUGCCAAGCUUCCUGGAAGAAAUAUCUCAUCUCUCACUUACUUCUCAAUCCUGGGAAACCUGAUUUUAGCCCUCACCAGUUGGCUGAAAUCGGAUAGAAUAGGUCAUCCAUGUCCUAACUGCCAAAUCCAUUAUAUUUGGGUGGUCAUCUCACAGAACCUCACUGGGGUUCCUCCCUUGGGUUUGUGAGACAGCCCUCUUCUUAUUGUCCUCUCACUCUUCCUAGUCUCACCCUCAUCUUUUUAAAUGUAACCCAUCUUUCCCGGGGUUGAUGUUAGGCAGGGCUGGGGAGGUGGAGUUGGCAGUGGCUCCUAUUGUGUUCUCUCUGGUGACACGUAUAGACAUGGGUCAUCACUUGGUUUCCAUUUUCCCCUCUUCCCGAGAGCAUUAGAGAAAUUAAAAUGCUUCAAAAUAUCUGAAAUCCAAGUCCAGAAAUUGCCAUUUUUGUUUCCUGUCUUAGUCCAUUUUGUGUUGCUAUAAAAACACCUAAAGCUGGGUAGUUUGUAAAGAUAAGAAGUUUAUUUGGCUCAUGGCCCUGCAGGCUGUACAAGAAGCAUAGCACCAGCGUCUGCUUCUGGUGAGGUGUCAGGAAGCUUCCACUCAUGGCAGAAGGCGAGAGGAGCAGACAUCACAUGGUGAGAAAGGGAGGAAGAGAGAGGUAGGGGUGUCUUGCUACUUAAAACAACCAGCACUCGCAUGAACUAAUAGAGCAAGAACUCACUAAUUACCAAUGGGAUGACACCAAGCCAUUCAUGAGGGAUCCUCCUCCAUGCCCCCGAUACCUCUCACCAGGCCCCAUCUCCAACAUUCGGGAUCACAUUUCAACGUGAGACUUGGAGGAGACAAAUAUCCAAACUAUAUCAUUUCUCUUUUUGCCUUGUCCUAAUAAAGGAAGGAAGUUACUUGUGGUGAUAAAGGCCUUGGUUUUCACUUUGUUGUCUGCUGCCUGUUGAAAUGGGUCAGAAUAUAAAAGGGUUUUUCUGAGGAAAAGUAAAUGCUUGGAAAAGUUCUUGUUACUGGGCCUAUUAUAUUAGUUCCCAAUAAGAAUUUGAGCUACACUGUGCUAAUAGAGUCCAUGAGCCCGCUGGUGUCCCAUCUCUCAGUAGAGGACAGGGCAGCAUAUUCCACUCCAGUAGUCGUUGUAUAAAAUAUAUUUGAAGCACAACUCUCAUUACAAGGUACGCAAUACAUUUUUAGU
Molecule: long non-coding RNA, 2575 nt
Filed under: Homo sapiens (human)
Lineage: Eukaryota; Metazoa; Chordata; Mammalia; Primates; Hominidae
Description: HSALNT0345503
Source: RNAcentral